This 643-nucleotide ribosomal RNA is filed under the name uncultured Actinomycetes bacterium. Its description in RNAcentral is "bacterial SSU rRNA". It matches the Rfam family "Bacterial small subunit ribosomal RNA", at positions 232 to 885 of the family's 1533-position model. Lineage: Bacteria; Bacillati; Actinomycetota; Actinomycetes. The record is from RNAcentral.
CGCGGCCUAUCAGCUUGUUGGUGAGGUAACGGCUCACCAAGGCGACGACGGGUAACCGGCCUGAGAGGGUGACCGGUCACACUGGGACUGAGACACGGCCCAGACUCCUACGGGAGGCAGCAGUGGGGAAUAUUGCACAAUGGGCGCAAGCCUGAUGCAGCAACGCCGCGUGAGGGAUGACGGCCUUCGGGUUGUAAACCUCUUUUAGCAGGGAAGAAGCGAAAGUGACGGUACCUGCAGAAAAAGCACCGGCUAACUACGUGCCAGCAGCCGCGGUGAUACGUAGGGUGCAAGCGUUGUCCGGAAUUAUUGGGCGUAAAGAGCUCGUAGGCGGUUUGUCACGUCUGCUGUGAAAAUCCAAGGCUCAACCUUGGACUUGCAGUGGGUACGGGCAGGCUAGAGUGCGGUAGGGGAGAUGGGAAUUCCUGGUGUAGCGGUGGAAUGCGCAGAUAUCAGGAGGAACACCAAUGGCGAAGGCACAUCUCUGGGCCGUAACUGACGCUGAGGAGCGAAAGCGUGGGGAGCGAACAGGAUUAGAUACCCUGGUAGUCCACGCCGUAAACGGUGGGUGCUAGCUGUGGGCCACAUUCCACGUGGUCCGUGACGAAGUUAACACAUUAAGCACCCCGCCUGGGGAGUACGG